Molecule: ribosomal RNA, 506 nt
Filed under: uncultured bacterium
Lineage: Bacteria
Description: bacterial SSU rRNA
Rfam family: Bacterial small subunit ribosomal RNA
Source: RNAcentral
GAUGAACGCUAGCUACAGGCUUAACACAUGCAAGUCGAGGGGAAACGAUAUUGGAAGCUUGCUUCCGAUAGGCGUCGACCGGCGCACGGGUGAGUAACGCGUAUCCAACCUGCCCAUCACUUGGGGAUAACCUUGCGAAAGUAAGACUAAUACCCAAUGAUAUCUCUAGAAGACAUCUGAAAGAGAUUAAAAGAUUUAUCGGUGAUGGAUGGGGAUGCGUCUGAUUAGCUUGUUGGCGGGGUAACGGCCCACCAAGGCGACGAUCAGUAGGGUUCUGAGAGGAAGGUCCCCCACAUUGGAACUGAGACACGGUCCAAACUCCUACGGGAGGCAGCAGUGAGGAAUAUUGGUCAAUGGGCGAGAGCCUGAACCAGCCAAGUAGCGUGCAGGAUGACGGCCCUAUGGGUUGUAAACUGCUUUUAUAAGGGAAUAAAGUGAGUCUCGUGAGACUUUUUGCAUGUACCUUAUGAAUAAGGACCGGCUAAUUCCGUGCCAGCAGCCGCGGU